UUUUAUGAGAGUUUGAUCCUGGCUCAGGACGAACGCUGGCGGCGUGCCUAAUACAUGCAAGUCGAACGCUUCUUUUUCCACCGGAGCUUGCUCCACCGGAAAAAGAAGAGUGGCGAACGGGUGAGUAACACGUGGGUAACCUGCCCAUCAGAAGGGGAUAACACUUGGAAACAGGUGCUAAUACCGUAUAACAAUCGAAACCGCAUGGUUUUGAUUUGAAAGGCGCUUUCGGGUGUCGCUGAUGGAUGGACCCGCGGUGCAUUAGCUAGUUGGUGAGGUAACGGCUCACCAAGGCCACGAUGCAUAGCCGACCUGAGAGGGUGAUCGGCCACAUUGGGACUGAGACACGGCCCAAACUCCUACGGGAGGCAGCAGUAGGGAAUCUUCGGCAAUGGACGAAAGUCUGACCGAGCAACGCCGCGUGAGUGAAGAAGGUUUUCGGAUCGUAAAACUCUGUUGUUAGAGAAGAACAAGGAUGAGAGUAACUGUUCAUCCCUUGACGGUAUCUAACCAGAAAGCCACGGCUAACUACGUGCCAGCAGCCGCGGUAAUACGUAGGUGGCAAGCGUUGUCCGGAUUUAUUGGGCGUAAAGCGAGCGCAGGCGGUUUCUUAAGUCUGAUGUGAAAGCCCCCGGCUCAACCGGGGAGGGUCAUUGGAAACUGGGAGACUUGAGUGCAGAAGAGGAGAGUGGAAUUCCAUGUGUAGCGGUGAAAUGCGUAGAUAUAUGGAGGAACACCAGUGGCGAAGGCGGCUCUCUGGUCUGUAACUGACGCUGAGGCUCGAAAGCGUGGGGAGCAAACAGGAUUAGAUACCCUGGUAGUCCACGCCGUAAACGAUGAGUGCUAAGUGUUGGAGGGUUUCCGCCCUUCAGUGCUGCAGCUAACGCAUUAAGCACUCCGCCUGGGGAGUACGACCGCAAGGUUGAAACUCAAAGGAAUUGACGGGGGCCCGCACAAGCGGUGGAGCAUGUGGUUUAAUUCGAAGCAACGCGAAGAACCUUACCAGGUCUUGACAUCCUUUGACCACUCUAGAGAUAGAGCUUCCCCUUCGGGGGCAAAGUGACAGGUGGUGCAUGGUUGUCGUCAGCUCGUGUCGUGAGAUGUUGGGUUAAGUCCCGCAACGAGCGCAACCCUUAUUGUUAGUUGCCAUCAUUCAGUUGGGCACUCUAGCAAGACUGCCGGUGACAAACCGGAGGAAGGUGGGGAUGACGUCAAAUCAUCAUGCCCCUUAUGACCUGGGCUACACACGUGCUACAAUGGGAAGUACAACGAGU
Molecule: ribosomal RNA, 1274 nt
Filed under: Enterococcus faecium
Lineage: Bacteria; Bacillati; Bacillota; Bacilli; Lactobacillales; Enterococcaceae
Description: bacterial SSU rRNA
Rfam family: Bacterial small subunit ribosomal RNA
Source: RNAcentral